Molecule: ribosomal RNA, 253 nt
Filed under: uncultured bacterium
Lineage: Bacteria
Description: partial 16S ribosomal RNA
Rfam family: Bacterial small subunit ribosomal RNA
Source: RNAcentral
UACAGAGGUCCCAAGCGUUGUUCGGAUUCACUGGGCGUAAAGGGUGCGUAGGUGGUGGGGUAAGUUUGAGGUGAAAGCUCCGGGCUCAACCCGGAAAUUGCCUUGAAGACUAUUCCGCUAGAGGGUCGGAAGGGAGACUGGAAUUCUCGGUGUAGCAGUGAAAUGCGUAGAUAUCGAGAGGAACACCAGUGGCGAAGGCGAGUCUCUGGACGACACCUGACACUGAGGCACGAAAGCCAGGGGAGCAAACGGG